Ostrinia nubilalis (European corn borer) is the source of this 2198-nucleotide long non-coding RNA. RefSeq lists it as uncharacterized. Lineage: Eukaryota; Metazoa; Arthropoda; Insecta; Lepidoptera; Crambidae. The transcript is spliced from 4 exons. The record is from RefSeq and is a predicted model, not a curated record.
UUUUUUCGGCUGGCCACCCUGGCUGUCAAACGUAGUUAGGACAGCUCUUAUCUAUUUUACAUUAAUUUUAAUAUUUAAUUGUAUUUUUCAAGUGUAAAUCAUUGUAAAUCAACACAUUAAAACUUAGUUUAGUGAAAUUACCACAAAAAUCAAGCAUUCAACCCAUAACUGCAACGAAAUAAUGAAGGAAAAAUUUACCGGCCAGUGACAUGACAUGACGAUUUUGAAAAAUCGUCAAUACAACAAUUAAUUAAAACAGGGGAGUAUUGUUUUCAUAAUAUUUAUUUAGAAUUAAGUUAAAUGUUAAUUAGGACUAUAUUUCUAAUACUGAGCCUAGUGUCUCAAAUAAUAAAAUAUCUAGUAAUUGAGCCUAACCUCAACUUGUAAACAAAGUUUAUACUGCAUAAACUCAUAGGUCCUUUUUAGUUUCUUAGUUGUUUAAUAAUAUUAUAUCUGACACACCUCUAAUUCGAGGAAAUCAUUGCAUAUAACGGUGUUCAUAAUUAAAGAACAAUGGCAGGCAUGGUACCCAGUAAAAUUGAAGAUGUACGGAGUUGAUUUCUUGAUAUUAUAUACUCGAUACUUGGACACUUAUUUUACGUAUUUUUAUGAUUUUCCACAACUUUCGAGAAUAAAGAAAACAUAACUUUUGUUUUCAUUUGAAUACUGCUAACAAAACGCUUACCUGAAUAUGCAAUAAUAAAACGCAAUAGGACCCUUUUCUUUAGGGCCGUAACCUACAACUAUUUUAUUCAAUCAGAUAAAUCGAUUAUCGAUUAACUUACUUUACCAAUUAUUCAGAUAUCGACUUAAGAUCUAUAAAACCAUUGAUACAAUCAACAAAGUGAAUAUAAUUAUCGGUUUAGCUCUAUUUAUAUUCAUUUUAAUAAUAUAUUAUGCUAAUUAGAUUUAUGAGGAAUAAAUGGAGGCUAUUGAUUAUUAUCGAUUACUCCAAUGUAUCGUACAUUGCAUUACGUCAAGGUACGUCACGCGACUGACAUACAAGUACAACAACUGUCAAAUCAGUUCUUUGUUUACAUUCCAUCGUAUUACUUUUCUCUAUGUUCCAUCGUUUGGUGGUUUUCCAACGUUUCGUCGUCUCGGUGUGAUCAUAAAGUGCUGUUUAUGGUAUACCUACCUACUUGCAAAGUAAAGAACAGUCGAGUUGAGAGCACCCUAUGCCUCCCCCUGUCUUUUCUUUAGUAUUGUGAUACUAUCUUAGCGAAAGGAUGCUUGUUUGUGUAUUGUGAUCUGUUUGUAACCAUGUCUCUUCUACGCUGCAUCAACUGCGAUAUUCGAGUGACUCGAAUUAGGCGGCAUCUACUCCUGGAAGAGAGUGAGGCUCUUACAGAAGUUAUGAGACUGUGAACAUAUCCAAGAGAGAUCACAAACACUGACUAUUUGCCAUGCCUCUUGGAAACUUGGAAAUGCUCAAGUCACUGGAGCAAACAUUGUUGAGAAUCAAGAGAGGCUAAUUGGUCUUCACAACAUUUGUGUAGGAUGCGGCCGCUCGAUUUUCAGUCAGUUCUCGCACAAUAUUGAGAGAAACUCCUACAAAUGAAGAAGGCCCAAUAGUUGCUAUUAUAUCACAGUGGAUACAUCCAAGACAGAUUACUCAAAGUGAUCAAGCAUGUACCGCAUGUUGGUUACGCGCUCAGAGAACUCUCCGUCGUCAGCAAUUGGUUGAUGAGGCCAGAAACAUAAAUGAAGAAUUAACAACAUGUGUCAAUUGCAACAAAGAUUUGUUACAUAGCAAUGGCUACUUAUUGAGAAACGAAGACGAAAAUGUCAUCAACAUCAUUAAAAGCUGGAUAUAUCCUAAUAAUAUCAACCUCAUGGAUAGUAUUUGCCAUGCUUGUUGGCAACUUGCAAAUGAAGCAGCACGGCAAGGUUCUGAGUCACCAGAGACUGCAUCCCAACCGUUGGAGACAGAUGACCCUCCUGACUCACAUGAACUACAGGAAGAUAAUCAUGAGGAGGCGUGCCAUCAUAGAAUAUUGUUGCAACUGUAUUGUGGGUUUGAGGACAGUAGGGUGUUGCUCACAUGCACGGUAAUAGUAUUACCAUGUCACAUGUGAUGAGUAUCGUAUGGUAUUUAGCCUAUGCUUGUCACUUAGACAAUAUAUCACCACCUGCACAAGUGUUAGAUGGAAUUCUUGUAAGAAUAAACAUUGAAUAAAGCAGUAUAUUGAUUUUAA